Molecule: long non-coding RNA, 579 nt
Filed under: Pan troglodytes (chimpanzee)
Lineage: Eukaryota; Metazoa; Chordata; Mammalia; Primates; Hominidae
Description: long non-coding RNA NONPTRT010459
Source: RNAcentral
CCAUUUUAUAGAUUAGAAGUCUGAGGCACAGAUUUAUAUAAUUAGUAAAUUGUAGAACUGGUAUUUAGAUCCAAAGUUACACGUUUUUCUGCAAUACCAUUCUGUCUCUCUGAAAGCACACUCCUGACCACCAGAUACAUGACCACCAUCACCACAUGCACUUGUAUUCUGUUCAUGCCCAUCAAACAUAAACCUACUAAAAAUACAAAAAAUUAGCCGGGCGUGGUGGCGGGCGCCUAUAGUCCCAGCUACUCGGGAGGCUGAGGCAGGAGAAUGGCGUGAACCCAGAAGGCGGAGCUUACAUGAGCCGAGAUGGCGCCACUGCACUCCAGUGUGGGCGACAGAGCGAGACUCCUCUCAAAAGAAAAAAAAAAAAAUUAGCUGAGCGUGGUGGCAGGCGCCUGUAAUCUCAGCUACUCAGGAGGCUGAGGAAGGAGAACUGCUUGAACCCGGGAGGCAGAGGUUGCAGUGAGCCGAGAUCGCGCCAUUAAACUCCAGCAUGGGCAACAAGAGCAAAACCCCGUCUCAAAAAAAAAAAAAAAAAAAAAGAAAAUGGGCCGGGCGUGGUGGCUCACACCU